AUACGGAGGGUGCAAGCGUUAUUCGGAAUCACUGGGCGUAAAGGACGCGUAGGCGGGUUGGCAAGUCAGAUGUGAAAUCCUACAGCUUAACUGUAGAACUGCAUUUGAAACUGCUAACCUAGAGUAUGGGAGGGGGAGAUGGAAUUAGUGGUGUAGGGGUAAAAUCCGUAGAUAUCACUAGGAAUACCGAAAGCGAAGGCGAUCUCCUGGAACAUAACUGACGCUAAGGCGUGAAAGCGUGGGGCGCAAACAGGAUUAGAAACCCCUGUAGUCC
Molecule: ribosomal RNA, 274 nt
Filed under: uncultured bacterium
Lineage: Bacteria
Description: partial 16S ribosomal RNA
Rfam family: Bacterial small subunit ribosomal RNA
Source: RNAcentral